UGGGGAAUAUUGGACAAUGGGCGCAAGCCUGAUCCAGCCAUGCCGCGUGAGUGAUGAAGGCCUUAGGGUUGUAAAGCUCUUUCGCCGACGAAGAUAAUGACGGUAGUCGGAGAAGAAGCCCCGGCUAACUUCGUGCCAGCAGCCGCGGUAAUACGAAGGGGGCUAGCGUUGUUCGGAAUCACUGGGCGUAAAGCGCACGUAGGCGGAUUGUUAAGUCAGGGGUGAAAGCCUGGAGCUCAACUCCAGAACUGCCCUUGAUACUGGCAAUCUCGAGUCCGGAAGAGGUAAGUGGAACUGCGAGUGUAGAGGUGAAAUUCGUAGAUAUUCGCAAGAACACCAGUGGCGAAGGCGGCUUACUGGUCCGGUACUGACGCUGAGGUGCGAAAAGCGUGGGGAGCAAAACAGGAUUAGAUACCCUGGUAGUCCACGCCGUAAACGAUGGAGGCUAGCCGUUGGCGAGCAUGCUCGUCAGUGGCGCAGCUAACGCAUUAAGCCUCCCGCCUGGGGAGUACGGUCGCAAGAUUAAAACUCAAAUGAAUUGACGGGGUCAUAGCUGUUUUCCUGCUGAU
RNAcentral lists this ribosomal RNA (569 nucleotides) under uncultured bacterium. Its description in RNAcentral is "partial 16S ribosomal RNA". It matches the Rfam family "Bacterial small subunit ribosomal RNA", at positions 355 to 946 of the family's 1533-position model. The record is from RNAcentral.